AAGCCGCUAAAAAGUCCUAUAAUGAGGAUUGCAAAAGUUUUAAAUAUCAGAAACUGAAGAAGGAAUUGAUAAUUAGCAGAUAACAAAAAAGCGCAAAAGUACUGAUUAUACAACUCUUUUAAAGUUGAGGAAGAAUUUUAUGUGGAAUGUUAAUGCAAAAGGUACAAAUAUUGACAGUUAAACCAUCACCACCUCCACAGCCACCUUAUCUCAAGCAUUCAAUUGCAUUCUAAGUUAUCUUUAUUCAAAUCAAGUGUGACUACUAUACCAAAAGACUGUAGAAUGGGCCAAUCAAGUAAGAUGUCAAAAUUUAUAUCUUUUAUAUAGAACUC
This is a long non-coding RNA of Hydra vulgaris (swiftwater hydra), 332 nucleotides long. RefSeq lists it as uncharacterized. The record is from RefSeq and is a predicted model, not a curated record. NCBI's taxonomy places the organism in Eukaryota, Metazoa, Cnidaria, Hydrozoa, Anthoathecata, Hydridae.